This 646-nucleotide long non-coding RNA is filed under the name Bos indicus x Bos taurus (hybrid cattle). RNAcentral describes it as "lncRNA (ENSBIXG00005021262.1)". Lineage: Eukaryota; Metazoa; Chordata; Mammalia; Artiodactyla; Bovidae. The record is from RNAcentral.
GUAGCAUUUAAUCUUCACAAAAAUCCUGUGAGUUCAAUGCUGUUAUUAUUUCCAUUUUACAGAGGAGAAAAUGGAGUCACAGAGAGGAAGUAAUAUGUCUAAAGUUACACAACUCAUAGUAGAAGCAGCAUGGGAACAGAAAGAGCUGACCCGAGUCCAUGCUCCUGACCAUGAUGCCACCAGUUGUGAGAAUUCCAAGACCACAAGUAGUUCUUUGGUAGUUGCUAUGGUUUUUCCUGUGGUCAUGUAUGGAUGUGAGAGUUGGACUGUGAAGAAGGCUGAGCACCGAAGAAUUGAUGCUUUUGAACUGUGGUGUUGGAGAAGACUCUUGAGAGUCCCUUGGACUGCAAGGAGAUCCAACCAGUCCAUUCUGAAGGAGAUCAGCCCUGGGAUUUCUUUGGAAGGAAUGAUGCUAAAGCUGAAACUCCAGUACUUUGGCCACCUCAUGCGAAGAGUUGACUCAUUGGAAAAGACUGUGAUGCUGGGAGGGAUUGGGGGCAGGAGGAGAAGAGGACGACAGAGGAUGGGAUGGCUGGAUGGCAUCACUGACUCGACGGACGUGAGGCUGAGUGAACUCCGGGAGUUGAUGAUGGACAGGGAGGCCUGGCAUGCUGUGAUUCAUGGGGUCUCGAAGAGUCGGACAUGA